This 429-nucleotide ribosomal RNA is filed under the name uncultured bacterium. RNAcentral's name for it is "bacterial SSU rRNA". It matches the Rfam family "Bacterial small subunit ribosomal RNA", at positions 355 to 776 of the family's 1533-position model. The record is from RNAcentral.
UCGGGAAUUUUGCACAAUGGCCGAAAGGCUGAUGCAGCAACGCCGCGUGAGCGAAGAAGGCCUUCGGGUUGUAAAGCUCUGUUGCCUGCGAAGAAGGGCCCCGUCAGGAAAUGGGCGGGGUUUGACGGUAGCAGGCGAGGAAGCCCCGGCAAACUACGUGCCAGCAGCCGCGGUAAUACGUAGGGGGCGAGCGUUGUCCGGAAUUACUGGGCGUAAAGGGCGUGUAGGCGGCCUGUUAAGUCAGGGGUGAAAGACCGGGGCUCAACCCCGGGGGUGCCUCUGAAACUGGCGGGCUUGAGUGCUCUAGAGGGCAGUGGAAUUCCCGGUGUAGCAGUGAAAUGCGUAGAGAUCGGGAGGAACACCAGUGGCGAAGGCGGCUGCCUGGGGAGUCACUGACGCUGAGGCGCGAAAGCUAGGGGAGCAAACAGG